RNAcentral lists this ribosomal RNA (1111 nucleotides) under uncultured Campylobacterota bacterium. Its description in RNAcentral is "bacterial SSU rRNA". It matches the Rfam family "Bacterial small subunit ribosomal RNA", at positions 170 to 1300 of the family's 1533-position model. The record is from RNAcentral. Lineage: Bacteria; Pseudomonadati; Campylobacterota.
CCCAUACUCCUUCUCAUUAUAAGAUGAGUUGGGAAAGUUUUUUCGCUAAAGGAUUGGGCUAUAUGGUAUCAGCUUGUUGGUGAGGUAACGGCUCACCAAGGCUAUGACGCCUAACUGGUCUGAGAGGAUGAUCAGUCACACUGGAACUGAGACACGGUCCAGACUCCUACGGGAGGCAGCAGUGGGGAAUAUUACACAAUGGAGGAAACUCUGAUGUAGCAACGCCGCGUGGAGGAUGACACAUUUCGGUGCGUAAACUCCUUUUAUAUGGGAAGAUAAUGACGGUACCAUAUGAAUAAGCACCGGCUAACUCCGUGCCAGCAGCCGCGGUAAUACGGAGGGUGCAAGCGUUACUCGGAAUCACUGGGCGUAAAGCGCAUAUAGGCGGUCUUGUAAGUUGGGUGUGAAAGCCUAUGGCUCAACCAUAGAACUGCACCCAAAACUACUAGACUAGAGUCUGGGAGAGGAAAAUGGAAUUAGUUGUGUAGGGGUAAAAUCCGUAGAGAUAACUAGGAAUACCAAAAGCGAAGGCAAUUUUCUGGAACAGUACUGACGCUCAGAUGCGAAAGCGUGGGUAGCAAACAGGAUUAGAUACCCUGGUAGUCCACGCCCUAAACGAUGAAUGUUAGUCGUCGGGAGGCUCGUCCUUUCGGUGAUGCAGCUAACGCAUUAAACAUUCCGCCUGGGGAGUACGGUCGCAAGAUUAAAACUCAAAGGAAUAGACGGGGACCCGCACAAGUGGUGGAGCAUGUGGUUUAAUUCGAAGAUACGCGAAGAACCUUACCUAGCCUUGACAUUGAUAGAAUCCGAUGGAAACAUUGGAGUGCCAGUUUACUGGAGCUUGAAAACAGGUGCUGCACGGCUGUCGUCAGCUCGUGUCGUGAGAUGUUGGGUUAAGUCCCGCAACGAGCGCAACCCUCGUCCUUAGUUACUAACGGUUCGGCCGAGGACUCUAAGGAGACUGCCUUCGUAAGGAGGAGGAAGGUGAGGACGACGUCAAGUCAUCAUGGCCCUUACGGCUAGGGCGACACACGUGCUACAAUGGAUAGGACAAUGAGACGCAAUACCGUGAGGUGGAGCAAAUCUAUAAACCUAUUCUCAGUUCGGAUUG